GUCUAUGGCCAUGCCACCCUGAACAAACCCGAUAUCUGAUCUUGGAAGCUAAGCAGGGUCGGUCCUGGUUAGUACUUGGAUGGGAGACCACCUAGGAAGACCAGGUGCUGUAGGCA
Molecule: ribosomal RNA, 116 nt
Filed under: Pteropus alecto (black flying fox)
Lineage: Eukaryota; Metazoa; Chordata; Mammalia; Chiroptera; Pteropodidae
Source: RNAcentral